UGCUUUAUUUAUCAUUGAUUC
Molecule: non-coding RNA, 21 nt
Filed under: Caenorhabditis elegans
Lineage: Eukaryota; Metazoa; Nematoda; Chromadorea; Rhabditida; Rhabditidae
Source: RNAcentral